CAGCAUUCUGUAGCAAUACAGGGUGUGGGCGCGUGGCGAACGGGUGCGUAACACGUGGAUAACCUUCCUUCAGGUGGGGAAUAACCCCGCGAAAGCGGGGCUAAUACCGCAUAACAUGACGAUGCCACAUGGUGUUGUCUUCAAAGCCGCAAGGCGCCAGAAGAGGGAUCCGCGGCCGAUUAGCUUGUUGGCGAGGUAAUGGCUCACCAAGGCAUUGAUCGGUAGCCGGACUGAGAGGUUGGCCGGCCACACUGGAACUGAGACACGGUCCAGACUCCUACGGGAGGCAGCAGUGGGGAAUCUUGCACAAUGGACGAAAGUCUGAUGCAGCAACGCCGCGUGGGGGAUGAAGCUUUUCGGA
This 361-nucleotide ribosomal RNA is filed under the name uncultured bacterium. RNAcentral describes it as "bacterial SSU rRNA". It matches the Rfam family "Bacterial small subunit ribosomal RNA", at positions 67 to 422 of the family's 1533-position model. The record is from RNAcentral.